UUCAAUGCACCUUUUAUCUCUUCAAAGGCGGUGCAUCUUAAGCUAUAAAAAGUUGAGCUUUCAUCCCUAAACAUCAUCCUCAUUCUUUACAAAUCCUAAUAACCCUUGAAAGUUAUCUGAUUUUUAACUUAAUAUUGAUGUUUGUUGUUUGUGUAGAAAUUUGUGCUUGAACCAGCAAUGCAAACCCGUGCUAUGAUCGAUCCGUCGUGCUAGGACAAGAACUAGAAAGACUCUUGCUUUCCCGUAAUUUGACAUAAUCAAUAAAUUCAACUCUAACACAGGUUUGUUAAUCCUAUUAUUGUACUUUUGUUUUUGAGGAUUCAAAGAUUUACACUUUCUAUGGUUCUUAUUUAGAUUGGAUGUGUAAAAGGUGUGGGAAGAACCUCUUUGUUUGGUUUUGCGAAGAAAUUCAGAGAAGCUCCAUCUCUCGGUGAAGAACUAAACAGAACAUUGAGCAAUCGUCUGAUUACAUCAACGACAGGUUGAUAGACCUUGGAGAGUGUAUAAAAGGAUGAGAAAGUGCGGGAACGUUGAAGAGAAGAGAGGAGAAACAGAGGAUUGAAAGACUCUAAAUGAAUAAGAGUGUUUGCAGUUAUAAUUGUUGCAACUAUAAAUACUUUAUGCCUUUGUUAUUUUUGGAGUUUAUCGAGUUGUAAACAUUGAGAGUGAGAGAGACGAUUGUAAGACGUUGUGAUUAGCUCGUGAGAGGAUCACUACUUACAAUUGUUGAGUAUUGAUAAGAAAUCUACUUUGG
RNAcentral lists this long non-coding RNA (754 nucleotides) under Brassica napus (rape). RNAcentral's name for it is "long non-coding RNA (BNAP_LNC004316)". The record is from RNAcentral. Lineage: Eukaryota; Viridiplantae; Streptophyta; Magnoliopsida; Brassicales; Brassicaceae.